AGAAGUGACCUUCCUGAGGCAGCUGUUCGGAUACAUGCAGAGCACAGCGCCCUGCUCAGAAAGGAAGGUUCAGAGAACAAAUUGUCGUUUAAAACUAUUGGGACAAACCUACCUCUUCUAAAGCUUAAAAUGGUCUCCAGCGUACCAGGAUUUGUGAAGGCCUGAAGUUCGUAGAAUGAAAUCUAUGUGGAGAUGAUUUAAAAGAACGGUUUCACUGCUAAAAUCCUUUCGAAAUGAGUUCCUUUAAGUUCUUCAGUAACUAAAUCCUCCAGAAAGGAAAGCCGAGAGAAUCUAGUCCUAUACAAUAACACCCUCUAACAAAGAUCGCUAAAGGAAGAUUUUAGUAGAUGAAUAUCUUCAAUAAUACAUGGUCACAUACAUGUAUCUGACCAUAUGAUGGCUCUCUGCACCAAAUUCCUCCAAACUAUUAUAAUAUGUAUUGUCUGUAGUGCUAUUUAUUUGGCAGUUAAUCAUGUAUUACAUUGUGACAUUUCUUACAGUGAACCAUUAUGUAUGUGUUUAUGUUCUGCCCUCAACUACUCAAUGCCAGUACCUUAUUCUUAACACAGCAACCACCCUUUCUGGUCUGUCCUCACACCCUCAUUCCCAUCAUAGUUAUUCUCCUCUCUCAUGGAAAUGUUCAGUUUCUGGACAUCUCCUUUCUCUUCCAUUCUUCACCUGACCUUCCUUCCUUUCUUGGCCAGCCUGAAUAUUAUAAAGGGAAUUUUAUUUCAAACCCAGGAUCGCACUUAAGAGGAAAAGAAACAAAAGCCAGUUCUUUUUAUUGCACAUAGAACAAGGAGAAACUCCACCCCUUUUGUUGUCUGGUAUGUUUAAAACAAGAAAGAACUUUAGAAAAGUAGGAUAUGAGUGAAAAUUACAACCAAUGUUGAGAACUACUUUUUAAUUUUUUAUUACAAAAUUAGGAUGAUACUUCAUUAAACAUUGUACAUCAUUUCAAAACUGUUAUCUCAUAAUCAUGU
RNAcentral lists this long non-coding RNA (983 nucleotides) under Homo sapiens (human). RNAcentral describes it as "HSALNT0364462". Lineage: Eukaryota; Metazoa; Chordata; Mammalia; Primates; Hominidae. The record is from RNAcentral.